RNAcentral lists this ribosomal RNA (497 nucleotides) under uncultured bacterium. RNAcentral's name for it is "partial 16S ribosomal RNA". It matches the Rfam family "Bacterial small subunit ribosomal RNA", at positions 28 to 507 of the family's 1533-position model. The record is from RNAcentral.
GAUGAACGCUGGUGGCGUGCCUAAUACAUGCAAGUCGAGCGAACAGACGAGGAGCUUGCUCCUCUGACGUUAGCGGCGGACGGGUGAGUAACACGUGGAUAACCUACCUAUAAGACUGGGAUAACUUCGGGAAACCGGAGCUAAUACCGGAUAAUAUAUUGAACCGCAUGGUUCAAUAGUGAAAGACGGUUUUGCUGUCACUUAUAGAUGGAUCCGCGCCGCAUUAGCUAGUUGGUAAGGUAACGGCUUACCAAGGCAACGAUGCGUAGCCGACCUGAGAGGGUGAUCGGACAAACUGGAACUGAGACACGGUCCAGACUCCUACGGGAGGCAGCAGUAGGGAAUCUUCCGCAAUGGGCGAAAGCCUGACGGAGCAACGCCGCGUGAGUGAUGAAGGUCUUCGGAUCGUAAAACUCUGUUAUUAGGGAAGAACAAAUGUGUAAGUAACUAUGCACGUCUUGACGGUACCUAAUCAGAAAGCCACGGCUAACUACGUG